This 202-nucleotide long non-coding RNA is filed under the name Elaeis guineensis (African oil palm). RNAcentral describes it as "long non-coding RNA (EGUI_LNC037456)". The record is from RNAcentral. Lineage: Eukaryota; Viridiplantae; Streptophyta; Magnoliopsida; Arecales; Arecaceae.
ACCGAGACUCAUCAAAAUCUUUUCAAACCUCAAGGAAAAUUCUUCAAAAAAAAGAAAUCUAAAUCCUUCAAACCUAGUUUCUUCCUCCAAAUCUCCUAGAAGCCAUAACCAUCCAAAGCAAAACCAAAUAAGGAGAUCUUCUACUUCAUAUGGAUAAAUCAUAUGGCAAAGGACUGCUACCAUAGAAAGACUGAACCGUGGA